Molecule: ribosomal RNA, 491 nt
Filed under: uncultured bacterium
Lineage: Bacteria
Description: partial 16S ribosomal RNA
Rfam family: Bacterial small subunit ribosomal RNA
Source: RNAcentral
AGUGAACGCUGGCGGUAGGCCUAACACAUGCAAGUCGAACGGCAGCACAGUAAGAGCUUGCUCUUACGGGUGGCGAGUGGCGGACGGGUGAGGAAUACAUCGGAAUCUACUUUUUCGUGGGGGAUAACGUAGGGAAACUUACGCUAAUACCGCAUACGACCUACGGGUGAAAGCAGGGGAUCUUCGGACCUUGCGCGAUUGAAUGAGCCGAUGUCGGAUUAGCUAGUUGGCGGGGUAAAGGCCCACCAAGGCGACGAUCCGUAGCUGGUCUGAGAGGAUGAUCAGCCAAACUGGAACUGAGACACGGUCCAGACUCCUACGGGAGGCAGCGGUGGGGAAUAUUGGACAAUGGGCGCAAGCCUGAUCCAGCCAUACCGCGUGGGUGAAGAAGGCCUUCGGGUUGUAAAGCCCUUUUGUUGGGAAAGAAAAGCAGCAGGUUAAUACCCCGCUGUUCUGACGGUACCCAAAGAAUAAGCACCGGCUAACUUCGU